Molecule: ribosomal RNA, 253 nt
Filed under: uncultured bacterium
Lineage: Bacteria
Description: partial 16S ribosomal RNA
Rfam family: Bacterial small subunit ribosomal RNA
Source: RNAcentral
UACGUAGGGUGCGAGCGUUGUCCGGAAUUACUGGGCGUAAAGAGCUCGUAGGUGGUUUGUCGCGUUGUUCGUGAAAACUCACAGCUCAACUGUGGGCGUGCGGGCGAUACGGGCAGACUGGAGUACUGCAGGGGAGACUGAAUUCCCGGUGUAGAGGUGAAAUUCGUAGAUAUCGGGAGGAACACCGGUGGCGAAGGCGGGGUCUCUGGGCCGAUACUGACGCUGAGGAGCGAAAGCGUGGGGAGCGAACAGG